GAUGAAGAACGUAGCGAAAUGCGAUAGGUAGUGUGAAUUGCAGAUGUAACGUGAAUCAUCGAAUCUUUGAACGCAAAUUGCACUCUCUGGUAUUCCGGGGAGUAUGCCUGUUUGAGGGUCGUCAAAAUAAACAUCGAUUUUAUUGCUUAUUUUUUUAUAUAAAAAGUAAAUAUUAUCGGAUUUGAGCUUUUCUUUUAUAUAUAAUUUUUGUAUAAAGUAGCUUAAAAUUUUUUUUGGUAUCAAAAAGCGUAUUUUAUAUAGUCAAUUCUGAUUAAAAAACGCUUGAAUUUUUGUAUACCACCAUCAUGUAAUACGUUUGACUUGUCAUUUCUAAGUUCAUUCGUAUACGAAGUUUUUUUCAAUUUUAGACCUCAAAUCAGGUAAGAAUACCCGCUGAACUUAAGCAUAUCAAUAAGCGGAGGA
This 423-nucleotide unclassified non-coding RNA is filed under the name soil metagenome. RNAcentral's name for it is "partial contains 5.8S ribosomal RNA, internal transcribed spacer 2, and large subunit ribosomal RNA". The stretch from base 1 to 121 matches the Rfam family "5.8S ribosomal RNA", at positions 35 to 154 of the family's 154-position model. The record is from RNAcentral.